AUUAACGCUAGCGGCAGGCAUAAUACAUGCAAGUUGAACGGCAGCACAGGUAGCAAUACCGGGUGGCGAGUGGCGCACGGGUGCGUAACACGUAUGCAACCUACCCUAUACAGGCGAAUAACCUUUAGAAAUGAGGGCUAAUACGCCGUGGUAUUAUCUUGGGGCAUCUUGAGAUAAUUAAAGAUUUAUCGGUAUAGGAUGGGCAUGCGUCCCAUUAGUUAGUUGGUAGGUAACGGCCUACCAAGGCUAUGAU
RNAcentral lists this ribosomal RNA (253 nucleotides) under uncultured bacterium. Its description in RNAcentral is "partial 16S ribosomal RNA". It matches the Rfam family "Bacterial small subunit ribosomal RNA", at positions 29 to 280 of the family's 1533-position model. The record is from RNAcentral.